GCACCACCUGAUCCCAUUCCGAACUCAGAAGUGAAACGCAGUAGCGCCGAUGGUAGUGUGGGAGUUCCCAUGUGAGAGUAGGACAUUGCUAGGC
RNAcentral lists this ribosomal RNA (94 nucleotides) under Colwellia sp. BRX8-6. RNAcentral also lists the same sequence under 2 other names. The record is from RNAcentral. Lineage: Bacteria; Pseudomonadati; Pseudomonadota; Gammaproteobacteria; Alteromonadales; Colwelliaceae.